AUUGAACGCUGGCGGCAGGCCUAACACAUGCCAGUCGAACGGUAACAGGAAGAAGCUUGCUUCUUUGCUGACGAGUGGCGGACGGGUGAGUAAUGUCUGGGAAACUGCCUGAUGGAGGGGGAUAACUACUGGAAACGGUAGCUAAUACCGCAUAACGUCGCAAGACCAAAGAGGGGGACCUUCGGGCCUCUUGCCAUCGGAUGUGCCCAGAUGGGAUUAGCUAGUAGGUGGGGUAACGGCUCACCUAGGCGACGAUCCCUAGCUGGUCUGAGAGGAUGACCAGCCACACUGGAACUGAGACACGGUCCAGACUCCUACGGGAGGCAGCAGUGGGGAAUAUUGCACAAUGGGCGCAAGCCUGAUGCAGCCAUGCCGCGUGUAUGAAGAAGGCCUUCGGGUUGUAAAGUACUUUCAGCAGGGAGGAAGAGAGGAAAGUGAAUACCUUUGCGCAUUGACGGUACCCACAGAAGAAGCACCGGCUAACUCCGUG
RNAcentral lists this ribosomal RNA (490 nucleotides) under uncultured bacterium. RNAcentral describes it as "partial 16S ribosomal RNA". It matches the Rfam family "Bacterial small subunit ribosomal RNA", at positions 30 to 507 of the family's 1533-position model. The record is from RNAcentral.